RNAcentral lists this unclassified non-coding RNA (235 nucleotides) under Hevea brasiliensis (rubber tree). Lineage: Eukaryota; Viridiplantae; Streptophyta; Magnoliopsida; Malpighiales; Euphorbiaceae. The record is from RNAcentral.
GGAUUGGAUUGCUCAUCUUGUGCCCUGCAUGAAAGCCCUCCACCACGCUCUUGUUCUUGCUGGAAUCAAGGAUGUGAAGGUCUCGACACCUCACACCCUCGGAAUCCUUUACAAUUCUGUACCACCAAGUGCUGCUCGGAUCAGGCCUGGUUACCAGAAAUCCAUAUUUGCACCCAUGCUUGCGUUUCUACGUGAAACCAAAUCGCCUCUCAUGGUUAAUCCAUACCCUUAUUUU